AAGCUACUACUUCAAGAAGCAGCGGGCUCUGCGGCUCAGCCCAGGCUGCGGGGGUUGGGGGGCGCUCCCACGCGGGGCUCGCCUUCUGCCACGCGGCGCGCAUCAGCGACCUCUCCAACUAGGAGCUGGCGCGCUCGCUGCACAAACUGCACGAAGUAGGCACCCGCCCCAGGUGCGCGCAGCCCGUACUCUCAGAUUCCUAACCUGGAGGGGUUGGCGCUCCCGGAACGCAGGACACGAAGCCCAGCCCCGGGCCCCGGCUUCCGCCUGAUCCAGCCCUACUAGCCCGGCCGCCCCAAGAUCCCGCCCAGCCCGGGGCGUGUCUCGGCCUAGGGAUACUGGGCCAGCCACGAAAGCCUCCGCCCCCUCGAAGCGGGCUCCCUCGCCGCCAACUCUAGUGAAGAAGCAGCCCUUCUCCCCGGCGCCCGCUGGUUUGCAGAGGCCUGCUAUGAAGAGCUUGUGCAAGCCUCGCUGCAGGGAGCGCACGUCCGCCAGGACACUGUCCAGGGACACUGGGCCAGGGAUGGGGCAGUAUCAGGUCAGUGAAUCGGAGAGGCAGCCCUCCCACCAAUUAUAUAC
This is a long non-coding RNA of Homo sapiens (human), 579 nucleotides long. The record is from Ensembl. NCBI's taxonomy places the organism in Eukaryota, Metazoa, Chordata, Mammalia, Primates, Hominidae.